RNAcentral lists this ribosomal RNA (301 nucleotides) under uncultured bacterium. Its description in RNAcentral is "partial 16S ribosomal RNA". It matches the Rfam family "Bacterial small subunit ribosomal RNA", at positions 509 to 807 of the family's 1533-position model. The record is from RNAcentral.
CAGUAGCCACGGUAAUACGGAGGGUGCAAGCGUUAAUCGGAAUUACUGGGCGUAAAGCGCACGCAGGCGGUCUGACAAGUCAGAUGUGAAAUCCCCGGGCUUAACCUGGGAACUGCAUUUGAAACUGUCAGGCUGGAGUCUUGUAGAGGGGGGUGGAAUUCCAGGUGUAGCGGUGAAAUGCGUAGAGAUCUGGAGGAAUACCGGUGGCGAAGGCGGCCCCCUGGACAAAGACUGACGCUCAGGUGCGAAAGCGUGGGGAGCAAACAGGAUUAGAGACCCGUGUAGUCCCUGUCUCUUAUAC